AAAACCCCAAGCCGGUUUGGACAUAGGCAAGGACGACCUUCUAAAAGAGACAGAUUUCUUCCCUUCGGGGACCUGCACACAGGUGCUGCAUGGCUGUCGUCAGCUCGUGUCGUGAGAUGUUGGGUUAAGUCCCGCAACGAGCGCAACCCUCGACCUUAGUUGCCAUCAUUUAGUUGGGCACUUUAAGGUAACCGCCGGUGAUAAGCCGGAGGAAGGUGGGGAUGACGUCAAGUCCUCAUGGCCCUUACGCGCUGGGCUACACACGUGCUACAAUGGCGGUGACAGUGGGCAGCAAGCACGCGAGUGUGAGCUAAUCUCCAAAAGCCGUCUCAGUUCGGAUUGUUCUCUGCAACUCGAGAGCAUGAAGGCGGAAUCGCUAGUAAUCGCGGAUCAGCAUGCCGCGGUGAAUACGUUCCCAGGCCUUGUACACACCGCCCGUCACACCAUGGGAGUUGGAUUCACCCGAAGGCGUUGCGCUAACUCAGCAAUGAGAGGCAGGCGACCACGGUGGGUUUAGCGACUGGGGUGAAGUCGUAACAAGGUAACCAAAA
Molecule: ribosomal RNA, 551 nt
Filed under: uncultured bacterium
Lineage: Bacteria
Description: bacterial SSU rRNA
Rfam family: Bacterial small subunit ribosomal RNA
Source: RNAcentral